UACUCCUACGGGAGGCAGCAGUGGGGAAUAUUGCACAAUGGAGGAAACUCUGAUGCAGCGACGCCGCGUGAACGAUGAAGGCUUUCGGGUCGUAAAGUUCUGUCCUUGGGGACGAUAAUGACGGUACCCAAGGAGGAAGCCCCGGCUAACUACGUGCCAGCAGCCGCGGUA
Molecule: ribosomal RNA, 171 nt
Filed under: uncultured bacterium
Lineage: Bacteria
Description: partial 16S ribosomal RNA
Rfam family: Bacterial small subunit ribosomal RNA
Source: RNAcentral